Molecule: long non-coding RNA, 2700 nt
Filed under: Heterocephalus glaber (naked mole-rat)
Lineage: Eukaryota; Metazoa; Chordata; Mammalia; Rodentia; Bathyergidae
Description: lncRNA (ENSHGLG00100039739.1)
Source: RNAcentral
GCUGUUUAUUUCUAUUGAUGUCAACCUUGAAUGAUUUUUAUUAACUCCCAAAUAAAUGCUUUAUUAUUUUCUGUUAUAUGUGGCUGCUGGUGACAAUCUCUUAGAUUUUUUUUCCCUUUGUCCAAAACUACCUUCAUUUUACUUUCAACUUUGAAUGAUAAUUUCACUGUAUAUAACACACUAGAUUCCUUAGCAGUUAUAAAUGUUUCCUGGCUUCUGUCAUGUGUCAAAUACGUAGGCAAGGUGGAGGAACAAACCAAGUUUAUUGGGGAAAGUUUUUUGGGGUAACUCCUAUAAAAAAUAUAAAGGGAGCAAGCAGUCAUAAGGGUGAUCUGAAGCCUGUGAAGAGAAAAGGGGAAGGAAGACCCUCAUACCAUCUUCCAAAUCUGAAAAACCUUUGGGGAGCCCUGAAGCAAAUGUGACCCUCUGAGGAAUCCUACAUUACUUAGAAAUAACCAGGCCAUAGUACUCCUCUUUGCUUAGACCUUAAUUUGGUGCUGAGAAAAGAAUGGCCUUGACCAUUCAAGUUGAAGUACAUUCUGAAAGCACUGAAAGUGGAGGCUGUCAGCUAACCAUGUUCAGCACAAAUGAGUAGCAACUUCUCCUUGAAGGGAGAAAAGAGAGGCACAAUUCUAUGAUCACAGUCUACCUCCUGCACCCCAUUCAUUCAUUCUUUUAUAUACAUUUAAGGUGUACUUCCUCUGGGAUUCCAAUGGAUCUCUCUUUUUGGUUGAGAAAAAAGAAGGCAGCUGGUGGGACAAACAACAGUCACUACUGUAGUUGGUCUUGGAGGUCACAAUUAGAACUCAUUGUUGUCUCUCUUCCAUUCUAAUCUAAAGUCUUCUCACCUUCAGUACAAUUUCUCCUGGUUUCCAUGACUGGUUUCCAUGGAGUGAUAUAUGAGAUGUCCAAGUUUCUUAUAAUACCAUUCUUAGAAAGGAACUGGCACACAUGUUCAUUCAUAUGUACAUGCACAUGUUCAUUCAGACGGGGAAGUUUCAAGAGGCACCCAAGUAAACUUCUAUAAAUAUUCCUUUCUGGCCUCAUUAAAUAAAAGUAGUCCUAAUUUAUCAUUCUGAUAAGGAUCAAUUCUAGCAACAUGGAGACUCUUUUUCUUGGCUGCUAUUCUUUGGACUCAAGAAUUCCAAAGUACCCAGAUAACAGUCAGAGGAUUCAGGUCAAUGGGGACUUUGCUGAGUUCUUGUGGAAGAAUUUGCUCCUUUUGAAUACCAGGAACUAUAGAAGUCAGAAUGGUGGAGAUGAAAAGCAUAUUCUCAAAAUGGAUCACUGAAUCUUAGACAUAGUGCCAUAUAAGACAUUAAUUGAAGGUACAUUCUGCCUUUUAAGGGAUGGUGCCCUAUGCUCACAGAGUAGUGUGUCUGAGCUGACACUUCAGUAGUCCCUUCAGUAGAUUAUUACCAAGGUCUAGGGCUGGCUGAUUGGUUAUUAUACCAUGUGAUGUGACCAGUGGGUCCCAUGGUUUGGACCCACUUACAAAGCCUUCCACAUCUUUAUUCUGCACUGCUAUGUAGGAUUUUAUACUUCUUGCAUUAGGCUACUCCAGAGGAACAGAACCAGUAGAAUUUGUAUAUAUGUGUGAGAGAGAAUUUAUUCUAAGGAACUAACUCAUAUGAUCAUGGGAUCUGGCAUGUCUGAAGCUUGCAGAUCCAACUAGCAGGAAACAGAUUCAUCAAGAGAUAGAAAUAGAGAUAGAGAUGUAGAGAUAGAGACAGACAGAUGAUAGAGACAGAGACAGAGAAAGACAGAGACAGAGAGAGAGAGAUAGAGAUAGAGGAAGAGGGGUACUCCUAUUAAUUGCCCACCUAUUUGUCUCUAGAGAAGCUAUAUUCUAUUAAUCAUCUCCACAACACUUUGAAAAUGAUGUCCCCCUGUUUACUACUCCAACCUGAUCAGUCAUUAUGUUAAUUGAGACACUCCAUCUUCUGUAGUUAAGUGCUGGUUCUUAGCUUUUAUUACUUCCAGGGCCUUAUCUAUUUGGUUUUUUUCAGCUCUGUCACAAACUGAACUCCAUGGAAGCCUUCUCUGUCAGCCACUGUGCCUUGGGGAUCAGAGACACAAGUGAGCUUUUUAUUCAUCCUGCUGCCCCUCUAGCCAGAAGCCAGUGCAUUCCUGAGAACCAUGUUAAAGGGUGUAUCCUCUGGGCCUUCUCGUGGAACAACCUCUCAUACAGGGUUUCCCUCCAUCAAGGUUAAGUACGUCUCGAAGUCUCCAUGUUCAGUGACUAACUGAUCUUGAAUUCGGUUGCCCGAACAAGCAUAUCCAGUGUAAGCACUUUUACUGAGCACCCACCAAGUCAAAAGGAGCAUUUCAAGUGCUCUGGAACCUUCUGCUUUCAUUUACUAAUAAUCCUCAAACAGAAUGUCUGCUUCCGACAUUGGCUUCUGAAAUAGAACAGAAUCUUAAUUAGCUCAUGAGAAACUCCUACUUAAGUAGUCUUAGAGCAAAUGGACUCAUUUCCUUCUCUAAUAGAUCCUCCUGUUGUUUGACUGUGAUGAGAAUGGUCUUUUAAAAGAGGCCUCAGGUGUGAAACCAACUGUUCAGGCUCAUUGUCAGCUGCCGGCUCCUAGAGUAUUAAUUCAAAAUUAGCGAAAAUAUAAGACUAUGUCUACAUUGGCCAACUCUACUGCAAAAUUGAGCAAUUUUCAGUUAAGGGUGCAGCAUCCUCUACAAUGCCCUUGA